Molecule: ribosomal RNA, 1524 nt
Filed under: Triticum aestivum (bread wheat)
Lineage: Eukaryota; Viridiplantae; Streptophyta; Magnoliopsida; Poales; Poaceae
Description: partial small subunit ribosomal RNA
Source: RNAcentral
AUGUGUUUUGGCUAUCAACCAAGACCGGCGUGCUUUGCUAAGGAGCAGGGGGAGCACCUCAGAGCAGAGUUGUUUGAGAUUGAGGCUCAAGCAAAGUCCGACCUCGAGUAUGCCAGAUCGCAUGGAGUUAUCAAACCUAGAGAGGCGAGGCCUGGCUGUACUGGAGUUGACUGCCCACAUGAAGGCAACGACGAGGAGAGGAAGGAUCGUGUGCGCAGCUUAGCAGCGGCUGCGCUUGCUGUAGUGGAGCAAGCUAUGGACAAUCCAGAACUCUUUGAAGGAAUAUUUGACCAGGCCAGAGCAGUGCUUUCGGGACUAGGUGUUGAAGGAUAUACUGGAGAAGAAGUACCUCGGAUGAAUGGAAACGGCAACAAUACACCGCAACGUGAGGAAAAUGAUGGGAUCAAUUGGGAGGAUCUAGAGAGGGAGAGCCAGGAACUAGUGGAACUCGAAAACUGUCAGCCAUGCACUGAUGCACAACUGACCAUCGUCGCCCCUGCUGUCAAUGGUGAUAGCAUCAGCUCAGGGGGUCCUUAUGAUGGAGAGCGUGUAGGAAAUACACUUCAGGGUGACGUUGACAGCAACAGGGAAAUGUCGGUGGAUGAAGCAACUGAUGAUGCUUUGUUGGGUGUAUCAUCGCUGGAACCAAGUGAUUAUAUGGAGGAAGAAGAGGACGGGAUAGAGUUGGACGAUGAGUUCCUGGCUGUGGCAACACAGGUGCCCAUAGAUUACACGAUGCAUGAAGAGGAACUAAAUGAGGAAAACAAUUUGGUUGGCCUUAAUAACUUAAGGGGCAUGCUUGCUGCACUGAAUACAUGCAUCAGAUGGGUAGCAUGGAUAGCAGCAACGAUGAUGGUUGGGAGCGCAAGGCCGGGAGAUGAUGAAGAUGAAGACCCUCCUCUCAAUGGUCAAAUCUUGUUGGGUUGGCAUGGUACUGAAUACCGAGAAGAUGCCCGUCCCAGUAGACAGGAACUUCUUGCUCGAGUCCAGCAUGCGACCCGUCCGCACGCACUAGAUGUUCAGACAUCAUGUCGGUCUGCACCUUCCUUUUAUCAUGAUGGCAGAGAUGGUGGUGAUGAUCAACCUCCUGGGAGUGGGAUGACAUUGCCAGAGGGUGGGUCAGCGUCUCGCUUUCAGCAAGCAAUUAUCAAGUAUCUUCAUGCCUGUGCGAACCAUGAGAAAACACCUACCAGUGUGGAAGCCCGUGAGCGUGCAACCGAGCGUAGUGAUGCAGGAGAGCUUGGACCACAUGUCACAACUCGUCCGCGAGCCUUGGACGUGCAAACAAACUGUCGUCCUGGACCUUCAUUCCGUCGUGAUGAUGCUGAUGGAGGCGACGGGAAGGCUCCUACCAAUAUGUUGCCAUCUGGAGCUGGUGGUUCAACCUCUCGUUUCCAGCAAGCAGUUCAGAACUAUCUGCACCGGUUUGGGAUUAAAUACACAGUGAAUACCACGGGUAAAACACAUGAUGUAUCACGUGAAGAUGGAUACACAAAUGAGCAGGUCGCUGUUAGGAGAGAUUAG